This 74-nucleotide transfer RNA is filed under the name Actinomycetes bacterium. Its description in RNAcentral is "tRNA-Gly". It matches the Rfam family "tRNA". Rfam says of the family: Transfer RNA (tRNA) molecules are approximately 80 nucleotides in length. The record is from RNAcentral. RNAcentral also lists the same sequence under 2 other names. Lineage: Bacteria; Bacillati; Actinomycetota; Actinomycetes.
GCGGGUGAGGCCCAAGGGUGGGGCGCCACACUUCCGGUGUGGAGGUUCAGGUUCGAGUCCUGGCGCCCGCUCCA